RNAcentral lists this long non-coding RNA (211 nucleotides) under Carica papaya (papaya). RNAcentral's name for it is "long non-coding RNA (CPAP_LNC011416)". The record is from RNAcentral. Lineage: Eukaryota; Viridiplantae; Streptophyta; Magnoliopsida; Brassicales; Caricaceae.
AAAAUGCCGAAAAUCGUAACUUACCGGCAGCAGGGCUCUCUGGUGCGGGGCUCCUCCAGCUCGAGUCGCGAUUUAGUGUUUUGCUCCAGUCAACCUGUAGAGGAAUGAAUAGUGGUCACAAUGGUGUAAAAAUUACAUCGAAUGGGAAUCGAGAAUGGCCUCAUCGGAGACAAAAAUUGAGAAAACCCGCAGUGGCACCACUGGGUUUCGG